Molecule: ribosomal RNA, 253 nt
Filed under: uncultured bacterium
Lineage: Bacteria
Description: partial 16S ribosomal RNA
Rfam family: Bacterial small subunit ribosomal RNA
Source: RNAcentral
GACAGAGGGUGCAAACGUUGUCCGGAUUUACUGGGCGUAAAGAGCGUGUAGGCGGCCAAACAGGUCCGUUGUGAAAACUGGAGGCUCAACUUCCAGACGUCGACGGAAACCGUGUGGCUAGAGUCCGGAAGAGGAGAGUGGAAUUCCUGGUGUAGCGGUGAAAUGCGCAGAUAUCAGGAAGAACACCAAUGGCGAAGGCAGCUCUCUGGGACGGUACUGACGCUGAGACGCGAAAGCGUGGGGAGCGAACAGG